This 796-nucleotide non-coding RNA is filed under the name Ceraclea indistincta. Lineage: Eukaryota; Metazoa; Arthropoda; Insecta; Trichoptera; Leptoceridae. The record is from RNAcentral.
AAUUUAUAAAAAAUUAUUUUUAAAUACAAAAACUAUUUAUUUAUUAAAAUUAUAAAAUUUAUUUUUAAAUAUUUAUUGUAUUAUUAAUAUAUAUAUAUAUAAUUUUUAAAGUUAUUUAUUUAAUAUUUUAUUUUAUAAAUUAAAGAAAUUUAAUUUUAGUAAUUAAAAAUUAUUAAUAAAAAUUGUGCCAGCAAUUGCGGUUAAACAAUUAAUAAUAUAAAUAAUUUUAUUAUUAAUUAAUUUAUUAAAAAUAAAUUUAUUAAAUUUUUAAUAUAUAAGUAAAAUUUUUAUUAUUUAUUAAAUAUUAAAAUUAAAUUUUAAAUUAAUUUAUUAAAUAUUUUAAUAAACUAGGAUUAGAUACCCUAUUAUAAAUUAUAAAUUUAUAUUAAUAAAAAAUUAAAAGUUUAUAGUCUUAAAAUUUAAUAAAGUUGGCUGUAUUUUAAUUUAUUUAGAGGAACUUGUUGUUUAAUUUGAUUUACCACGAUUAUUUUUACCUUAUUUAUUUAAUUUAUAUAUCGUUGUUAUAAAAAUAUAGUUAAAAUUUAAUAUUUUUUAUUUUUUAUAAAAAAUUAUUUCAAAUCAAGAUAUAGUUUAUAAUAAGGGAUUUUUAAUGAGUUAUAUAAAUAUAUUUAUGGAUAUUUAAUUUAAAAUAUUAAAUUAAAAUUAGAUUUAAAAGUAAUUUAUAAUUUAUUUAAUUAAAAUGAUUUAAUUUUAAAAUAAGUACAUAUUGCCCGUCACUUUCAUUGUUUGAAAUAAGUCGUAACAAAGUAAAAGUAUUGGAAAAUGUUUUUAGAAU